UACGUAGGGCGCAAGCGUUGUCCGGAAUUAUUGGGCGUAAAGAGCUCGUAGGCGGCCAGUUGCGUCCGCUGUGAAAUCCCGGGGCUUAACCCCGGGCGUGCAGUGGAUACGGGCUGGCUAGAGGCAGGCAGGGGAGAACGGAAUUCCCGGUGUAGCGGUGAAAUGCGCAGAUAUCAGGAGGAACACCGAUGGCGAAGGCAGGUCUCUGGGCUGUAACUGACGCUGAGGAGCGAAAGCAUGGGGGAGCGAACAGG
Molecule: ribosomal RNA, 254 nt
Filed under: uncultured bacterium
Lineage: Bacteria
Description: partial 16S ribosomal RNA
Rfam family: Bacterial small subunit ribosomal RNA
Source: RNAcentral